This 73-nucleotide transfer RNA is filed under the name Caudoviricetes sp. Its description in RNAcentral is "tRNA-Thr". It matches the Rfam family "tRNA". From Rfam's summary of the family: Transfer RNA (tRNA) molecules are approximately 80 nucleotides in length. The record is from RNAcentral. Lineage: Duplodnaviria; Heunggongvirae; Uroviricota; Caudoviricetes.
GCUGUCUUAGCUCAAUUGGUAGAGCAGCCGCCUUGUAAGCGGCAGGUUGCAGGUUCGAUUCCUGUUGGCAGCG